Molecule: unclassified non-coding RNA, 267 nt
Filed under: uncultured fungus
Lineage: Eukaryota; Fungi
Description: sequence contains ITS2
Rfam family: 5.8S ribosomal RNA (bases 1-52)
Source: RNAcentral
AACGCACAUUGCGCCCGCCAGUAUUCUGGCGGGCAUGCCUGUCCGAGCGUCAUUUCAACCCUCGAACCCCUCCGGGGGAUCGGCGUUGGGGAUCGGGACCCCUCACACGGGUGCCGGCCCCUAAAUACAGUGGCGGUCUCGCCGCAGCCUCUCCUGCGCAGUAGUUUGCACAACUCGCACCGGGAGCGCGGCGCGUCCACGUCCGUAAAACACCCAACUUUCUGAAAUGUUGACCUCGGAUCAGGUAGGAAUACCCGCUGAACUUAA